Molecule: ribosomal RNA, 468 nt
Filed under: uncultured bacterium
Lineage: Bacteria
Description: partial 16S ribosomal RNA
Rfam family: Bacterial small subunit ribosomal RNA
Source: RNAcentral
GACGAACGCUGGCGGCGUGCUUAACACAUGCAAGUCGAACGGAAAGGCCCUGCUUUUGUGGGGUGCUCGAGUGGCGAACGGGUGAGUAACACGUGAGUAACCUGCCCUUGACUUUGGGAUAACUUCAGGAAACUGGGGCUAAUACCGGAUAGGAGCUCCUGCUGCAUGGUGGGGGUUGGAAAGUUUCGGCGGUUGGGGAUGGACUCGCGGCUUAUCAGCUUGUUGGUGGGGUAGUGGCUUACCAAGGCUUUGACGGGUAGCCGGCCUGAGAGGGUGACCGGCCACAUUGGAACUGAGAUACGGCCCAGACUCCUACGGGAGGCAGCAGUGGAGAAUAGUGCACAAUGGGCUGAAGCCUGGUGCAGCAACGCCGCGUGCGGGGUGACGGCCUUCGGGUUGUAAACCGCUUUCGCCUGUGACGAAGCGUGAGUGACGGUAAUGGGUAAAGAAGCACCGGCUAACUACGUG